AGUGAACGCUGGCGGCGUGCUUAACACAUGCAAGUCGAACGAGAACGGGAUAUAGCUUGCUAUAUUUGUCAGCUAAGUGGCGCACGGGUUAGUAAUGUAUAGAUAACCUGCCCUCUAGAAAGGAAUAACAGUUGGAAACGACUGCUAAUGCCCUAUAUGCCUUUAAUACAUAAGUAUGCAAGGGAAACGCUUUAGUGCUAGAGGAUGGGUCUGUAUGGUAUCAGCUAGUUGGUGAGGUAAUGGCUCACCAAGGCUAUGACGCCUAACUGGUCUGAGAGGAUGAUCAGUCACACUGGAACUGAGACACGGUCCAGACUCCUACGGGAGGCAGCAGUGGGGAAUAUUGCACAAUGGACGAAAGUCUGAUGCAGCAACGCCGCGUGGAGGAUGACACAUUUCGGUGCGUAAACUCCUUUUAUAUAGGAAGAUAAUGACGGUACUAUAUGAAUAAGCACCGGCUAACUCCGUGCCAGCCGCCGCCGUAA
RNAcentral lists this ribosomal RNA (485 nucleotides) under uncultured bacterium. RNAcentral's name for it is "partial 16S ribosomal RNA". It matches the Rfam family "Bacterial small subunit ribosomal RNA", at positions 29 to 523 of the family's 1533-position model. The record is from RNAcentral.